Molecule: ribosomal RNA, 301 nt
Filed under: uncultured bacterium
Lineage: Bacteria
Description: partial 16S ribosomal RNA
Rfam family: Bacterial small subunit ribosomal RNA
Source: RNAcentral
CAGUAGCCACGGGAAUACGGAGGGUGCAAGCGUUAAUCGGAAUUACUGGGCGUAAAGCGCACGCAGGCGGUCUGUCAAGUCAGAUGUGAAAUCCCCGGGCUUAACCUGGGAACUGCAUUUGAAACUGGCAGGCUAGAGUCUUGUAGAGGGGGGUAGAAUUCCAGGUGUAGCGGUGAAAUGCGUAGAGAUCUGGAGGAAUACCGGUGGCGAAGGCGGCCCCCUGGACAAAGACUGACGCUCAGGUGCGAAAGCGUGGGGAGCAAACAGGAUUAGAUACCCGCGUAGUCCCUGUCUCUUAUAA